AGAAAUCCUGGUGUAAUGUUGGAGGGAAUGAAAACUAGUACAAUCAUUCUGGAUAGCAGUCUAGAGGUUCCACAAAAAACUAAACAUAGGAUCUUUCCUACAACUCAGCCAUACAGCUCCUGGGCAUCUACCCAGAACAUCACAGGCCAGGAUAUCUUAAAGACACUUGCACAUGC
This is a long non-coding RNA of Perognathus longimembris pacificus (Pacific pocket mouse), 176 nucleotides long. RefSeq lists it as uncharacterized. Lineage: Eukaryota; Metazoa; Chordata; Mammalia; Rodentia; Heteromyidae. The record is from RefSeq and is a predicted model, not a curated record. The transcript has 3 exons.